UUUUUCCCUCCCUUCCCCCAUGACCCUCUGUCUUUUUUCUCAAGUUUCUCAUAUCAGUGAGAUCAUGUGAUAAUUGUCUUUCUCUGAUUGACGUAUUUCGCCUGUCAUAAUACCCUCUAGUUCCAUCCAGUGUCAGUUCUUAUUGCCUUCGACUUUAGUGAUAUGGAAAGCUGGGGACCUUCUUCAUGGAACUAAACACAUAAACCUAGCCCAGAAGUUGGAGGAUCUGGAUGAGAACUCAAGGAAAGCUCAUCUUUGAGUUUCAACAAAUGGGUGGGCAAUACAGGAGUAGCACGGAACACGCUGCUUUGUUUUGAUGUCUUAACACUUCAGAUGAAAAGAAUCGUCUUUAAGCUGGGCCCUCUUUAUAGACUGUGUCUUCAGCGGAACAUACUUCAGUUUUUCCAUGAAUACAACCAAAUGACCUGUUGAUAAAUACUUUAGGGAACAGAUCAUAGCAAGAAAACCAAAGGCAUAUUUGAGUUCAUGAAGAUACCUAAUUUUCCAUCACUGAGAGAUGUUCUUCUUUAUCUCCAAGUAUGUUAUUCAU
Molecule: long non-coding RNA, 550 nt
Filed under: Mustela putorius furo (domestic ferret)
Lineage: Eukaryota; Metazoa; Chordata; Mammalia; Carnivora; Mustelidae
Description: lncRNA (ENSMPUG00000032088.1)
Source: RNAcentral